Molecule: ribosomal RNA, 274 nt
Filed under: uncultured bacterium
Lineage: Bacteria
Description: partial 16S ribosomal RNA
Rfam family: Bacterial small subunit ribosomal RNA
Source: RNAcentral
AUACGGAGGGUGCAAGCGUUACUCGGAAUCACUGGGCGUAAAGCGCGCGCAGGCGGCUUGAUAAGUUGGAUGUGAAAGCCUACGGCUCAACCGUAGUACUGCAUCCAAAACUGUCAGGCUAGAGUGUGGGAGAGGAAGAUGGAAUUAGUUGUGUAGGGGUAAAAUCCGUAGAGAUAACUAGGAAUACCAAAAGCGAAGGCAAUCUUCUGGAACACUACUGACGCCGAGGCGCGAAGGCGUGGGGAGCAAACAGGAUUAGAAACCCCGGUAGUCC